This is a non-coding RNA of Oryctolagus cuniculus (rabbit), 1605 nucleotides long. The record is from RefSeq and is a predicted model, not a curated record. NCBI's taxonomy places the organism in Eukaryota, Metazoa, Chordata, Mammalia, Lagomorpha, Leporidae.
UGGGGGAGUGAGAGGCGGGGCUUGGUCUCAGGCCUGAAACUUGGCCUUCCCGACUGCAGGGGGUGCUGCCCCGCCCGCAGGAUCCCAUCUCCUGAGACCUGUUCAGACCUUGAAUCUGGAGCUUGCCAUAAUCCUCAGGCUUAAACUUUUCUGACAUUCUAGUACUAGCAGAUUGUGCAUCAAGUGGAUCCCAGAGUUAAUACUGUGAGGAGACAGACUAAUGAGGAUAUUUUUUACCAAAGCUGAUAAGACUGAGUCUCAUCUGGAAGAAGACUGAAUUAUGAAAGUACACACUCAAGAGAGGAAGAAUAUAUUAUUCACAUUAUUAUUUACAGGAAGGUGCAUCAGAUAUGUAAAUGAUUUCAUAGCAUAUGUAUUCUGUGUAUGCAACGUAUGAUUUCUAAGGCUAAUAGGUCUAUUUUAUCUUUCAUCUGGAUUCUAUGUGGUGCAUUUUUGGUUAAAUAUUCAAAUAACAGAAGUUGUGCAGAAUAUAUAUGUAUUUAUACAUUAUUAUAAAUAUAUCAAUUUGUGAUACUAUCUGGACCAAAAGUAACUCCUAAACUAGUAGUAAAAAUCAAUUAAAAUCUAUGUUUUCAAUAUUUUCUCAUAGUGUAAAUCUAGAAUUUUAUUUAAAUAAUUUUACUUAACAAGUUUACUUAAAUAUUCUUAGAGGCGAACAUUAUGGUAUAGUAAGAUAAGUCACUGCUUGUGAUGCCAGUAUCCCAUAUCAGAGCAUUGGUUCAAGUCCCAGUUGCUUUACUUCUGAUCCACUUUGGCUAGUGUUCCUGGGAAGUGUUAUGGGUCAUGGAGGGGAGGGUGGUUACCUGAGCAAGCUCCAUGUGUGCUUUUCCUCAGCUUAGCAUAGAAAUAAAAACAUGGGAAACAAUUUGCAAAUAAGAUGCAAAAUCUUUAUUUAGUUUGCAAAGCAACAGUAAAGCAUCUAGCCCAACAGGAGACCAGAUGGAAUGCCAGAGCAGGACAAUGGCUUUCAGGAAGUGCCCAGGGUUUUUAUGGCAUUACUGCAUUUUAAUUGGGUCAAUCUAUGGGGGUGCCCAUUGGACAGGGGCUUCACAUAGUCUAUGUUGAUUGAACUGGGGCCACCCAAGGAGAUAGUGGGGGUCUCAUGAAGUCAGCCAGAUUCCCCUUAGGGGCUCAGGCCUCUCCUGUACUAGCUCUGGGUAGAGGAUUGACGUUGUGGUUAGAACUACAGGCUCACAUAUACUGAACAGGAGGUUAUCAUGGGGGAGAUGCCAGCAGGUAAAACAAGCUUUCCAGCCACAGCUUGCAGCCUGCUUGCACAUUUGCAACCUGAUUAUGUCAGAAAUUCUUUCUGUGUCUAAGAGGCCCACAGGCACUUGUCCCCCUCCCCGGAUAUCCUCAGGAAGGCAGCAAAUUAUGGCCCAAGUACUUGGCCCCUAGCCACCCUCAUUGAAGACUCAUAUGGAGUCUCUGGAUACUAGGUUCAGCCUGGUCCAAUCUCAGAUGUUGGGAGCAUUUGGGAAAUAAACCACUAGAUGGAAAAUCUGCCUCUACCUUUCAGAAAAAUAUAUACAUUUAAAAAAUAAAUAUUUAAUUUUUAAUAUUUUUCAGUGGGAAUUUUGUAUA